CGGAAAGAGAAGAAACCUGCAGGAAGGAAAGAAGUUGAACUUGUUGGGACAUGACUGGACAAGAGAAGCACCAGGAGAGAAAGGACUUUAUCUGCCUGUUCAUCAUUGUAUUUCUAGCCCCUAGACCAGUAGCUGGCCAUUAGGAGGAAUGCUAGGGAGACAGAGCAUGAGAGGGGAAGGA
Suricata suricatta (meerkat) is the source of this 181-nucleotide long non-coding RNA. RefSeq lists it as uncharacterized. NCBI's taxonomy places the organism in Eukaryota, Metazoa, Chordata, Mammalia, Carnivora, Herpestidae. The transcript is spliced from 3 exons. The record is from RefSeq and is a predicted model, not a curated record.